UACGAGUUUGGUUUUCCAUCAAUAAAACGAGAGUCGAAGUCAACUUUAUGUUUCAAAUACUUCAUGAAUCUCAAAUACUAUUCUCUUAAAUGUUGUUCACACGCCACCAAACAAAAUGGGCGAGGCACAUCACUCCAAAUAAACUUAUUGCAAAUAUGUUCAUGCUAACAUCUUCGAAUUAAAAUAGUAGUAUAGUAAAAAAAAUAUAUGAAAAAAAUAAAAAUAAAACCUAACUUCAUAUUAUUCUCAUCUGAUCAUCUUGAUUGAAUCUCUUG
RNAcentral lists this long non-coding RNA (275 nucleotides) under Linum usitatissimum (flax). RNAcentral's name for it is "long non-coding RNA (LUSI_LNC004613)". Lineage: Eukaryota; Viridiplantae; Streptophyta; Magnoliopsida; Malpighiales; Linaceae. The record is from RNAcentral.